AAAACUAAAGGGGUUGUAACUUAAGGCACUGAAGAAAGUGAUAGAAAAGACAGGAAUACAGAGAGAUAAUUGGGCAAGACAUAGGUUGUAACUUUCAUGAUUGUCAUUAUGUGUAUGUUUUCGAUGCUUUAUGGGAAUAUGUACAAAUUAAUUGUUGAGAACAUACACAAACAUAUAUACAACACAAAAUAAAACACAUACAACAGAUCCAGAAAGUGCUCAGCCAUGAGCUUCCCUUCUUGUAGCACGUGAACGUAUCAGGCCCCCAAAUGGCCCUUACAACAACUCACAACAAAUUAAACUCCUCAAGAUAACUAAUGAAUGAAAACCCCAAUUUAGCUAAGAAUAAAUAUGUUAUCACAAAUAUAUAUGUAUAAACUUAAAUCUUUCUUGAUGACAUUAUUACUUCCAAAUGUAUGUUACUUACCAUUUUAAAUGUUCAGAUGCAAAUUAACUAUAUAUCUUAAUGGGUAGUUAUCGUUUCAACUAGGCAACAAGAAGAUUGACAAAAGAAACUAUACAACACGGAGAAAAUCAAAAGAAAAUACGGAAAAGGAAAGCAUAAAGCAACUUAAGAAACCCUAGGAAAUCGACACAUAAAAUGUACAAGUACAAGCUUAAAUAGUACCUGUUGGAAUUGAAGUGUGUAGAUAAAGUUAAGUACCCUUUCCAAUGCUUCACCUUCAAUAUCUUACCCACAAAAAGCCAGCUCUUUCUCAACAAAAAGAGAAAGAAGAAACAAAACAGAUGUUAGAAUUAGGUAGUUAGAUUACCAUAUAUAUAUAUAUAUAUCGGGGAUAUGCUUGGCUCCUCAUACGCCAUUCACGGGGACCCAACGGUAUUCCGAUGAGCUCUGCAAAUGGCAUACAGGGAGCCAGGCAUAUGCAGAUCACAUGUAUGUAACCUACAUAUAACAUAGAACUUACGUUUAAACUUCUUAUAUAACUGGUAGUAACUUGUAAAACAGCCCGAAUAAUUAUCUAAGUAAAAGAAAGAAAGCAUGGCUGAACUGAAAAAUUAUCUGCCCGUGAUCAUUGUCAACAAGAAUCAACAAGAUAUCCAAAGAAUUUUAGCUAAGAAGUAAGAAAAAGGAAAUAGAGAUUGAGAUACAAAGAAGAUCGAGGCAAGCUAAGAUGGUUUAUAUUUUAGGAGAGAAAAGAGAGAUUUGGGUUGAUCAAACUGGGGUCCUAAUCAGCUGGAUCUUUUAGCCCCACCGGCAAAACAUAUUUACACGACCAUAAGACCAAAAGCUAUGGAUGUUUCUUCUAUAUACUCUCUUUCUGUUUUCAUAAAUUAAUUCAUUCAAGUAGAAGGAUAGACAACGAUAGGAAUGAUGAAAACAAGCUGUUUAUAAGCACAAAACAGCAAAAUAAUCAAACAGAAAAAGAAGGGCUGUGAAGAAAUCAAGAAAGAAGUGUUCUUGUUGUUCUUAAUUUGUAGGGUUGCCCUUUUUCUUUUCUUCGAAAGACAAAAAGCAAAGAAGUUUUUCU
RNAcentral lists this long non-coding RNA (1490 nucleotides) under Nicotiana tabacum (common tobacco). Its description in RNAcentral is "long non-coding RNA (NTAB_LNC005667)". The record is from RNAcentral. Lineage: Eukaryota; Viridiplantae; Streptophyta; Magnoliopsida; Solanales; Solanaceae.